Molecule: long non-coding RNA, 594 nt
Organism: Cottoperca gobio
Lineage: Eukaryota; Metazoa; Chordata; Actinopteri; Perciformes; Bovichtidae
Exons: 6
Source: RefSeq, a predicted model, not a curated record
AAAUUCAUCUCCUCCGCUACGCCUGCUCUCUUCUUCAGGCAGCAUGGCAGGAGUGAAGAUCCCACGGUGCCUCUUACAGCACAUUCUUCAAACGUUAUCCCUUGGCAGCGAAGAUGACCCCAGCGGGCCAGUUUGCCUGAAAGAUCCCUGACUGUGAGUCACAUGGAGACUGGCUUGAGUCGGUGCCUGAAGGACUUUCAUAAAGGUUGAGAUGAAGAAACUGAAGGAAUUUGCCCUGAAGAUGAUUUUCAACGGAUAAGGGCAAAUUUGAAGCUGGUGAGAGUGGAGAGAGACCAGGAUGGAUACUGCUGUUACAGCAGCUUGAAGAUGCAGUUUGAGAGCUGGUAAGACUGAAAACUUCAGAGCCGGCUGCACAAAGACCUGCGGCCGCUGAGAUCAAAGUGAGGUCGUGGUCAAUAAGAGCUGAUUUUGAGAUGUGGUUGCUGCAUGACUCAACAAGUGGGAAUGUAACGCUGCAUCAUCCUGCUGGUGGUUUAUUUUACAGGUUCUUUUAUUCAGAAGACUGCGGCCCUCAAGCAAAUGGAACAAGCCUCAAAGUUUUAAUGAAGGACAAAAUAAAGGAGUUUGAAUCAA